CCUGAUUGAUUCUGUCAGCGCGAUAUGCUCAAGUAAAAGAUUAAGCCAUGCAUGCUUUGAUUCAUCAAUGAAAUUGCGUACGGCUCAUUAGAGCAGAUAUCACCUUGUUCGGAAUAUUAUAUGGAUAACUGCGGAAAUACUGGAGCUAAUACAUGUCAUACAUCCCCAACGUAAGGCGGGGUGCAAUUAUUAGAACAGACCAAACGUUUUCGGACGUUGUUUGUUGACUCUGAAUAAAGCAGUUUACUGUCAGUUUCGACUGACUCUAUCCGAAAAGGGUGUCUGCCCUUUCAACUAGAUGGUAGUUUAUUGGACUACCAUGGUUGUUACGGGUAACGGAGAAUAAGGGUUCGACUCCGGAGAGGGAGCCUUAGAAACGGCUACCACGUCCAAGGAAGGCAGCAGGCGCGAAACUUAUCCACUGUUGAGUAUGAGAUAGUGACUAAAAAUAUAAAGACUCAUCCUUUUGGAUGAGUUAUUUCAAUGAGUUGAAUACAAAUGAUUCUUCGAGUAGCAAGGAGAGGGCAAGUCUGGUGCCAGCAGCCGCGGUAAUUCCAGCUCUCCUAGUGUAUCUCGUUAUUGCUGCGGUUAAAAAGCUCGUAGUUGGAUCUAGGUUACGUGCUGCAGUUCGCAAUUUGCGUCAACUGUAGUCGUGACUUCUAAUUUGCUGGUUUGAGGUUGGGUUCGCCCUUCAACUGCCAGCAGGUUUACCUUGAAUAAAUCAGAGUGCUCAAAACAAGUGUUUGCUUGAAUAGCUCAUCAUGGAAUAAUGAAACAGGACUUCGGUUCUUUUUGUUGGUUCUAGAACUGAUUUAAUGGUUAAGAGGGACAAACCGGGGGCAUUCGUAUCAUUACGCGAGAGGUGAAAUUCGUGGACCGUAGUGAGACGCCCAACAGCGAAAGCAUUUGCCAAGAAUGUCUUCAUUAAUCAAGAACGAAAGUCAGAGGUUCGAAGGCGAUUAGAUACCGCCCUAGUUCUGACCGUAAACGAUGCCAUCUCGCGAUUCGGAGGGUUUUUGCCCUGCCGAGGAGCUAUCCGGAAACGAAAGUCUUUCGGUUCCGGGGGUAGUAUGGUUGCAAAGCUGAAACUUAAAGAAAUUGACGGAAGGGCACCACAAGGCGUGGAGCUUGCGGCUUAAUUUGACUCAACACGGGAAAACUCACCCGGUCCGGACACCAUUAGGACUGACAGAUUGAAAGCUCUUUCUCGAUUUGGUGGUUGGUGGUGCAUGGCCGUUCUUAGUUGGUGGAGUGAUUUGUCUGGU
RNAcentral lists this ribosomal RNA (1265 nucleotides) under Caenorhabditis elegans. Its description in RNAcentral is "SSU rRNA". It matches the Rfam family "Eukaryotic small subunit ribosomal RNA", at positions 3 to 1319 of the family's 1831-position model. Lineage: Eukaryota; Metazoa; Nematoda; Chromadorea; Rhabditida; Rhabditidae. The record is from RNAcentral. RNAcentral also lists the same sequence under 1 other name.